Molecule: non-coding RNA, 14355 nt
Organism: Phalacrocorax carbo (great cormorant)
Lineage: Eukaryota; Metazoa; Chordata; Aves; Suliformes; Phalacrocoracidae
Source: RefSeq, a predicted model, not a curated record
UGUCUAGAGCAAGAACAAAGCUGAGGUAGCAAAGAUCAGAGGCAUAGACUAUUGUGGAGUAACAUGGCUGAAGGGGUGAACGUAGAGAGAAGUGACUUGAGCUAUGUAGGCAGGAGGACGGUUCUGUGUGAGGGAUGCUUUUUGUGUCUUUCCAGCUCAGUUCGUGUCCUUGCAACUUGCAGAGAGUGGAAAAGACAUUGAGAAGGAAGAGGCAAGAAGCCAUGAGGAACUGCUGCAGGUGCAGGGGCUGCUUUGAAAGGUCACAGUAAUAGAGAGAGGAUUCUGAUGACUGAAAAAAGGCACGCAUCAUACACGCAUUCAAGAAGGACAUCUCCUCUGAGCCAUAUUCAAAGACCUGAGCUGACUUGGACUGCUGAAUCUGUAGGGAGGAUUUCAACACAGCUCUAAGCACUUGGACAUUGGAGCCAUGCAGGAAGGAAGAGGGAGACAUUCAAGCCCUCCCCCCUUCCCUUUGAAUAUGAAGACUUCAGCAGCUGGACAAAAACGCAUGUGACAGAGCCCUUGUACGAUGUCCAUCUCCCCUUUCUGGCACCUGACCUGCUCAGUUCAAUAGGGAAAGACAAACGGCAAGCAAUCGUUUCCUUCUGCAUUCCUUCUGUAUUCAACUUCUGCAUGCUACCUUUGUUUUUCACAUGGAAGCACUUUUGUACUUACCAUGUUUGUCAUUCUGCCAUGUAGCUUUUCUUUUUCCUGUUACAGUUUCUUGGUUUUUUUUUUUAGGUCAGGGUACCAGAACUGCACUUAGUAUUCGAGAAGCAGAGGCACCAUGAAUUCAUACAGUGGCAAAAUCAUAGUUUUCUCUCCUAAGAAUUCUGAACUUUUGAUUUUCUUUUUUUUGACUGCUAUUGAGCAAUGAGGUGAUAUAUUCAUAGAACUAACUGUUACAAUGUCAAGUUGCAUUUCCUAAAUUGUGCAAACUAGUUCAGAGCCCAUCACUCUCUCUGUUGCUUUUUGUGGAUAGCCAGAUUAUAGUUGUCAGGGCUGAAAUUUAUCUUCCACUUUAUCAUGAGUCUGCUCAGUGUAAUGAAAUCUAUAAGUUUUUGUAGUAAAUAUUACCCUAAUUAAUUUAGUUCUUAUCAGAAAUCAUCUUCGCUACUCCACCUGCUUUCCAGAUCACUUCUGAACACAUUGAACACAAUGGACCUUAAUCCCCAUGGGACUUCACUGAUGAUCAUCUUCCACUGCGAAAACUCAUCCUUUAGUCUAAUCUUCUUUUUCCAAUAUUAAACUGUGAGGUCCUUACCUGUAGUCCCUGGCUGUUUAGUUUAUUUAAGAGCCUUUGAUGAGACCCUCAAUGUCUGAGGUUUCUGAAAGCUUGGGUGAGUUGGGAAUACAGGGAAAAUUUCUCAGCUGGAUCUCUGUUAUUUACAUGCUUUUGACUCCUUCAGAGAAUUCCAGCACAUUUAGGAGGCUCAGAUUCCUUUUACAAAAGUAAUGUUUGCUUUUCCUUAAUGUGAUACUUUUAUUCAUGUAUUCACUAACUUUGUUCUUUGCUAGAGCUUCAGCCUAUAUGACCGAUAUGGACAUGAGACUUAGUGAUUUGUGGUUUCUUGAAUCACCAAUGGAUUUAUUUUUAAAAACUGAUUUCUUAUUAGUUACCCUCCAGUCCUUUGAUAAUCGCACCAAUUUUCAGCAAAAGGUUACAUACUAAGGUUAUUAGCUCAGAUGAUUCAUAUUUAACAUUCUGUAAAAAUCUUGUACGAAUAUAAUCUGUGCCCAGUGAUAUGUUGUUAUUCAUUUUGUCUGGUUUGUAAUCUACUUUUAACAACCUUAAAUUAAGGCAAGCCUUCUGUCAAUGCCUUAUAAACUAGAUGCUGGUUUUAGAGUUUCUCUGAGAUUCUCCAGGUGAAUAGAGAUUAAAAAAAAAAAAGUUUGGGAUUUUUUGUGAAGGCAUUCUCUUUUCUGAGUGCUUCUUCUGUACAUGUGUAGCACUCUGGAUCUUGCAAGCUUCUUGCUCUUGAUGCGUUCAAGAAGGAUUUAUUACUUUUUUUUAUUUCUUUAGCAAACUGCUCCUAAACUCUUUCUUCGGUCUAUGUUAUUGUGCUUUUACAUUUAGUCUGCUAGAAUUUAUGUUCUUUUUAGUUUUCCUUUUUCAGACACAACUUCAGCUUUUUGCAGGAUACCUUUUAACUUCCAACAGCCUCCCUGAUCCUGCUGUUUUAUGAUGCUAGCUUUUUGUUUUGCUCUCAAGUCUUUUUUGACAGGUUAUAUGCAUUUGCUUUGAGCCUCCAAUAUAGAAUCCUAAAAUAGUCUACCUGCCAUCUGAAGACAUUUUACCUUUCUGGCUGCCACUCUAAGCAUUCUUUUUUUUUAGCAGUUUUCCUCAUUUUUGAAUUCCCUUUCUCUGGAAUCAAGCACAACCACUGCAUUUGCCAACAUUUCUUCAUUUCAGAGUAAGCAGUCAUGAAUCAGAUAAAAGGAUUAAGGGUUUUGGCCUAGCACAGUCUCUAGGAAGGCUAGAAAUAUCAGCCAUUAACAUUUCACUAAUGUUAAUUUCACUAAUUUCAUUAACUGAGAAACAGGGAAGAAAGUGCCUUGCCAGGGCUGGAGAUGGUAGGAAUUUGUGCCCUGAAACAUCAGCUUCUCUCUCCAACCUGCAACAGAUAAAAUGACAAGUAAUUGGAGAAAAAAUAAAAAAGCAAUCUGGGCUGAUUUUUCGCCACAUCACUGAAGUUUGAUACUAACUAGCUUGAUUGUUUUUGAGCAGAAGCCAUCUACACUGUGCUGGUGGGAACCAGAGUGAGACAGCAGAGUCAUGGUGAUAAUGUCCAGUUCUCACAUUAGUGGACACAGGAAUCAUCUGGUAUACAAAGAAGUCUGGAAGGACAGCGUGUGAAUGCAAGUAGUUCUUCACUGUAAUACUACUAGAGAACAAGAGUUUAGACUAUUUUAUGACUUCAGUUUGCAUAUAACAAAAUCUUGGAUGAAGUCUGACCACAAAAGGACUAAGACUGCAGAUGGUAGAGGCUGGUUUGCUAGCUGAUUCCUUUCAGGUCUCUCCAAUUCCAGACUGCUCCUUGCAGUAAGUAGUAGGUACUUACUAACAGCUCCAAAGGUGCUCUGAAACUGGUGGGGAUAAGCAGUCUUUGCCAAGCAGGUGCUGCACUUUAACAUGUGACUAAGGCUUGCUUACCACCGAAAAACGUUUACUUUGAGGUUGAAAGGCACUAGCACUCAGCUACUGCAAAAUGCGUUUAAAGCCAGGGUGAACCGAACAAUGCUGGUUACAGUGCAACUGCUGGCUAGCAUUGACUGCUUAGCAACAGCGAGAGUGAUGUGGAUACAGAUGAAUUGACUGUUUUCUGAGCAAGCUGGGUAGGAACAGAAGUAAUUAGCUGCUAGCUGAUGAAAAAGCAUGCUUAAUUAUUAGUAUAAUUAUAGAUAUAAUAGACCAGGAAUUAUUCAGUAAAAGUAAGAAAGCCAAUGUGUUACAAAGAAGGUAAUCAGAAUGGAAGACAAAAUGACAGCACUGUGAAGUCUUGAGAAGAAAUGUAAAGAAUUAAGAUGGUAAGUCUGGAAUCUUUUGGGUUUCCACCCUCUGACAUAUCAACUCAAUUUAACAAUGGUGUAAGGAUAUACAGAGCUAACAAGGUCUGUGGCUUGUAUGAUUUUUGGUUCUGUGUGACGUUGAUUUAACUGAUUGUAUGUCAGUGAAGUUGAGCUGCAUUUUCAUAAAUCUCAGAACAUGCACAACUUCACAAGGGUCUCUGUUCUUCUUCCAGCAGUACUACAGCACAACCAUUUAAUUUGAUGGAUCCUGUGGGAAGCUGAGCUAUAGCUGGUUCUGAUCUAUAUUGGUAAUUGAUUAUAAUUAUUUGAUAAGGCAGCACUGCUUUCCCUUGGCACCCUGAGUAAGUAAUUGUGACUAAGAAGCAGUCAUGUCAGAGAGCUGCGCUACCUGGCCACUGCAUCUUAAACUGUUUUCCAUGCCCACUGGGGAGAUGGCUGAAGAUAACAGGCUGAACUGCACUAACAGAGACGUUAGCAGUACAUUGUUAAUAUAGGAUGUAUAAUCAAUGAAAUGGGGAAUCUUGGGAAGAUUUUAAGUACAUCUCUUCUGACGUCAGAAUGGACGUAGGUAGUGCUGGUCCUGCUUUUGUGCCAGGGAUGGGGCUGGAUGCUAAUGGCAGCAGCAGUGAUCUGGAGUCUUCUGUAAGAAUCUGGAACUGAGAGGCCCAAGAUGUAUACAAUUUUUUCUAAAGUUGUAGCAAUUUCUAAAAUUAUGGCAGUGGAAUGGAAGACUCUGGCACCAGCAGCUCUAAUCUAGAUACUUUGAGACUGAGAGUAGUGGUGCCAAAUGAUUACAAAGAUGAUUAUAAACAAAUUUUAUGGAAUUACUAUUUGAGGACUAAUUAUUAAAAUGGCUUUUGAUUAAUGAGUUUUGAGUCAAGCUGGUUUGGCAAAUAGCAUUUUGAUAAGGUAUUUAUAAGACAGAUUGUCUUAAGAUGGUAAGAUGAACGUAUAACACUAACCUUAAUGAUGAUGUUAAUGCAGAAAUGAUGUAAAUGUGCAUAAGCAAUUACUGUAUGAAGUCACUGGGGUACAUCAGGACAAAUUGAGUACAGACAAACUAUAAUCAGCAUCAGCUGAGCACAGAAUUAUUGAAAAGUGAAGCUGGAAGAAAUCUCAGCUGAUCACUUAGUCCAUCUCCCUCUUCCACAACAGAAUCAGAUCUGCUUACGACGUUCUUGGCACAUGCAGAACUGUUGUUUCUCUUCCAUUUUGUAGCAGACUUCUAUCUCCUACAGGACUGUUACUGCACUGAUCCUGAUUCUGUCAGGACUGUUACUGCAUCUCUCCAUGGUCGUCUUUCUUUGGAGCAUCUCCUGUUCUUUGUCUCUUGAUUCGGGUCAUGUUUUCCAGACUUCUAACCAUUAUUGUUAUUCUUGCUGCUUAGUCUGUCAACCUUUCUUGAGGAGCAGUACCCAGCAAUUGGACGUGCUACUGAGUAACACUGAGGUGUUACUGAGUACAGCAAAAGGACCUGCAAGAUGGCUUGCAGGUAACUCUUCUGUUCAUAUAGCUAUGUAGUGUUUUCUCUUUGCUCAGGACAACAACCCCUGUUCAGCUUGUGAUCUAUCAGGACCUUCAGAUCUUUUUUUUUUUUUUUCCAGACUGCUUUCUGCCAAGCUGAUAUCUAUCCUGUAUUUGUGCACUUCACUCCUGCCUAAGUUAAAAUGCUACAUUUUUUACCAUUUACAGUUUUUACUCCUAUAUUUAUAGACAACUUGUCCAAGUUGUCAAAAGUUUUUAAUACUUCUAUCCCCCACGUAUUUGUAGCCACUCUUUGCAGAUUUAAUUUUGGCAGAUUUAAUAAACACGCAGUCCAUUCCCUCAUCCAGGCUAUCAAUAAAAUAUUGAAUAGAACUUAUGAACAGCUGAGCAACCAUUCAAUUUGUCCUUUAAAUUUCACAGUGAACCCUUGGAAACUACUCUCAGAGUGUGGAUUCCAAUCAGAUUUGUAUCGUGACUUCGGCCAGGGCAUUCUUGCCUUCAUGAAUGUUGUGUAGGGCAAUGUCAGGAGCCUCAGUAACACUGAGGUAUGUGAGUAUGCUUUUUCCCUAUCCACAAAGUCUCAUCCAUCGGAGAGGGAAAUUGGAUUGAGUCAGCUUGUUUUGUCCAUGAGGAAUCCAUGUUGACAAGUACUCAUCUCCUUAUUAGUUUAUAUGUGUUAGAAAUCAUUCAAAUUAUUCUGGUGUUUUUCUUUUCCUGGAUGUUAAAUCUUUUGGUAUCUUAGUUAUUCUGUUUGACUUGUAGAAGAUGUCUGCUAGUGGUUCCAGUUAAUUGAAAGUGUAAGAACUUUGGGGACAGUGGUGAAGGCAACAGAUACAAACCCUUCACUGGGAGAAACUCCGUGCCAAAUGUGAAAUUUCUGUGGUAAAGCAGAGAGACACAAAAGGUUCUCAGGAGAGUGGUGGAAGGAACGUUUACACAAAAGGAAAUUAUUUUAUUUCAAUCUGAGAAAUUAUGAUGCAAAUCAGCUUAAUUUAAAAGAGAAAUUUCAGGCUAGGUUGAGAAAAUUCUGAACAGUUUGAACUACAAGUCUGAACAGUCUUGUAGAAAUACGGUCAGGGUCAUGUGAAGGAAGAAGUUGGGAAACCUUAAUUUUGGGCUGCACUGGCUUCUUUGCCUAUAAUAGAUUGGUAGUGAACGUCUAAGAAAACAGAAAUAGAGAUUAGACUAAGUUUCAUAACCUUUUAACCCAGAAAGCCUGGAUCUCCUCAGCAAAGUGUUUUCUGAACUCUAAUAUAUGCUCACUGUUGACACGAGCUUAUUCACAGAACAGAAUGACCUUUGCAUAGCUCAAUGAGAAGUACGUGUGUGAUAAGUUUUAGUAUCUCCUGUUCAGUGUGCCCAUGUGACUGCAAGUUUGAUCUUACCAAAACAAGGUGUUAUACUUCAUUUUGUAGCACUUUUGCUGGAGUAUUUGAUACUGUGUGUAUAGGAAGCGUAUUUAUAUUUAUAUGAACACUCCAGUAUAUGAGUCAAGGAAGAAAGAAUAUGCAUUGCAAUGGUAUGACCCAUUUGCUGUUUUUCAGAAACUUUGAUUUUGCCUGAAUUCAGUAUUCUAAGGGGAAAAAAAAUACCACCCAGCAAAUUCUUGUCUAUGCUGUGCGUUAACAAGCCUUUGGGUCAGUACCAUUCCUGCUGUGCAUUUUGUUAUGUAGAAUUAUCAUCAUGGUUGUGCCUUGAACUGUUUGGAAGAUGGAACUGCUGGCAGAAGAGGGAAAUCAAAAGGGUGAUCAAACUCCCAAAAUAGAGGCAGAUGUAUUCCAUGUCGGCUGCAGAAAUUUUGAAGUGUGUGCAGGGGUCGUAUAACAACUUUCUUCUUUCAUCCCUUUUUUCACCAUCUUCUGCAGUGUAGAUCCCCUUAUACUUUCUGGUCCUUCAAGCUUAAGGGGCUGUAGAAGUACUCGAGACGUCAUUCGUGUGUGGAAAAGUGUUCUUGCUUUCUGGCAUCCUUUGGUUUUGCAUGUACCCUCCACAGGCAGGUACUCACCACGAGGUGGGAAAUGGUCUUGGUAACAAAGCUGAGACACGUGAAUAUACUGAGGACAGGUGCAAGGCAAUGCAGUAGAGAUUCUGUAACACAGGAGGGAUGGUAGAUGGUAAAUGUGACAACAAUCCCUGAGAACGUCCCCAGGAGCGAAACUGAGAACUGCAGACCAUCACACUGGAGUCUAUACUGAGCAAAUUAGAAGCUCUGGCCUCAAACUGCUCUGGGUAUGUGCUGUGAGAACCAUGUGGGCAAUGAAGACAGUAGGUGAAGCAAUUACUGAAGUAUUAGUGACGACCCCGGAAGCUCUUGGAAGGCAGGCAACCCUCCUCCCUGUGGACUCUACUCUGGAUCCAGAAAGGAGCAAGGCACACCACAGCCAAAUUCAUUGUCCUGGCAGGCCAUGGGGUUGUCCACAGCUUGAGGUUUAUCAUUUAGAAGCUUACCAGCAGGCAAGUCAAGAGCUGAAGCACGGCUGCAGCCGUGGAGCGCGUCAGCAAUGCAAUUUCCUCUAAUCACCUGCACAAUGAUCACAGGAGUUUUGCCUCCCUGUUUGUAGCAGCAAGAAGCAGUGCAUCUGCAACUUGUGAGAGACUUCACAUUGGCUCAUUUGGAUCAAAUAUCAGGGAGGAUUUAGAAGAGCGGUGUUUGCAGGCUGGAGAUUUGCUUGCUUCCUAAAUGUUGGUUACGUAUGGCACAUCUUGAGCCAAAGAGAAACCCCUAUGGCUUGGGGACUAUUUCCAGGUCUGUCCCACCCACGCCAGCUGCUGGGAAAGCUGCCUUUUGUGCCUUAAAACCUUGUACUAGCCUGAUGUUAUCGUACAUUUAACUGGCCCAGACAUGCUUCUGUCUACACUCUCUGUUUAGACAUGCCUUCAGUUCUGAAGGAUUUUUCUUAUGCCUACUCUACUCCUCUUUUCAACCAUAUCAGCUAUUUCAGAUCCUUAGUGUUUUGGAUAAAUGAUAUACAUUUCUUCUGACACUUUCAUAUGUUAUUUUUAAGCAGUUUUUUAUGCUGCUUGCCAACAUUUUAUCCUUACAGUUCUUUGAAUUUUGUAUUGAAACGCCCUAUGAACAAACUGUAUACAAAUCGGAAGGUCCUUUUUUAAAGUCAGACAUCAUCUUGGGGGAUCUGGGGGCUUUUUGAUCCUACUAAGAUACUGAAUUCAAGUAUAUUUUGGUCACUAUUAUAGAAUAACUUUUUUUUAAUAGUGGUUUGAACCUCAAAUGCCAAAUUUGGCCAGAACUGCCUAAGGAACUGCUUUUCCCAUUGAAAAUAGUUUAAUUCACUUCUCAAAAUUCAAUCACUUAAAGUGACUGAAUUUCGGAAUGGCCCAAACGCCACCCAGACCCAGGCACCAAGGAGCUUGGGUGGCUCUGGGCUACCUGCCCAGAGCCGUGCGCUGCUUGGGAACAGCAAGGAGUUGGAUAAGAAACUAUCUGGGUCUUGAGGAGGGACUGAAGCAAGCUUGCUUCUUGUGUUUAACAAGAUAGAAUAUAUACAUAGGGACAUUAAGAACUGCAAAUGAAUAAACUGAACCUAAAGAAAGUGAAAACUGCCCCAAUAAAAAAAAAAGUAGGACAGCUGUGCUUUUAUACAAGAACUUGCUGUUUCUUUUAUGACAUUUAUUUCAAAUCAUGCAAACCCUUCAGAGCAGCUCUAAUGCCCAGUGGAGUUCUCCAACCUAAAUGUCUCGUCGUCAGUGUAAGAAACAAAGAUAACGUAAUUUGAAUGCUGGAUGCAACAACGUAGGCUGCUCUUGAGGCUCAUUCUCCCUGCUCCAAAUGGGAAUGAUGGCUCCAAACAGACUCACCAGAACAGGCUGAAAAGCAGACAUCUCAUUUGUGAGGAAAUGGCCAAUAUCUCAGCUUUUUUCCCCGCAUUUGUUCCUUCCUUGAAAGAAAAAAACAAAACAGUUGCAUAAAGAUGCUGCUAUUUCAAAGCAAAUUUUAAAAUGUUUCUGAUUUGCAAAUGGCAUUUCAGCAUUUUCAUGAGAAUAAAAUGCUACGAUGAUGCUGUGUUUAAAUAUUUCAUUCCAGCUCCCUGAACAAACUUAAAAUCUUAUUAUAAGUCGUUUUGACAUAAAAGUGUGCUUCUCUGUGGUGCCCGUAGCUUAGACAUCUCCAGCUUCAAGCGCAGCUGCAGGAGCCCUCCCUGCUCAUGGCUGAUCAAAGGCAAACCAUGCUGCCACCCGCAAGCCACUGCUCAUCCCCGGCACCCAGCCCAGGAGAAAAAAAGGAUGCUGAACCUCUUAAGUGCCAAACUAAUUUUGCUGGGCCUGAGAUCUGCGAUGCUACCAUGGUAGCGGCUCUCCCAGGGUCUCCAAGGACCUGUUUCGGGACUCCGAGCAUCCUGACUCCAUCACCUGACAGUGUAAGCCAAUGCCUCUGCUCGAUGAGACACUUGGAUAUUUCUUGUGUUGUCUCUACCCUUGAUAACACCCUGAUCCACAGGGUGGGCACAGGGUUGAGCCUGCAGGAGCCUAAGCCUGUAUCCUGUGGGUGUCCCAGAACAGGACAGAGCAUAGGACAUGUUACAGGAGAGGACAGGGUUACUUGCUCUCUCACCACAUGGCUCCACUGAGCCACCAAACAGCCUUACAGAGGCUCCUGUAAGCACUGGCGUGUUUUACAUCUCCAUCGUUCUCGCUGAGUAGCUUUGACAGCUCUUGAUGUGUGCGAGUGAGGCCCCAUCCAGCACACAGGGAGGGUACAAGCAAGUGGAAGGCAGGGCUUAUGUUUGCCACUGAUAAAUGUAUUAGUCUUUAAAGUGGAAUUUAAACUACAACCCUUUUUCAGGCACCUCAGCACUGUGUUAUUUUGCAGGCCAUGUAAGGGAAUGUGAUUUUGCCUUUUUAACUGGAGUGUAUCUUAUGCUAAGCAGUGAGAUUAAGGGUAGGGAUCCAAAAGAAGUUGCUGGAUGGCAGAAUUGCCUUUAUAAAUAACAUUAAUAAUUUAUCCGAUCCAGGGGUUUUUUGGGUAAAUGAAAUACCUGCCGCUGUAUAAAGCCCAUUGAAUAGGAACACAUCUUGGCUUUUAUGAGGCUUGGAUUAAAGAAGGGAAAUGCUAAGGGGCUUAUCUUCACUUCAAUUUGCAGCCCUUCCGGCUAAUGGCAAACUCAUUUAAGAAGCUCCUGUGUUUGUGCCAACUCUGCCUUUAUUCUCACUGCCGGAGCUUGGCUGCAUUUCUCGCCGCAGCGCUGGAGAGAGCGGAGAGGAAGCAGUUUAUUUUCUUGACCUCAGAUUACCAGACAAAAGCUAGCGAGAAUAAUUUUCCUUGGAGUCCUCCCUAUUGCAAGUUGCUUUAAGCAUCUGCACAGCGGCUGCUGAGGACCUGGCCGUGCAGGGACCCCACGUGUGAAAGAGGACAGGGCUGGUGGCUGAACUGGGAUGAGUUGAAAGAGCACCUGUCAUCUUUCUUCUGGGACGCCUGCAUCCUCCUGCACAGACAGUCAUGAAAUGGCAAAAUUCAUCCUCUGCAAAGCCCAUGAGCUGUCACUUCUCAGCUCUUCUUUUAUGCUGGUAAAAAUCAAUUGCUUCAAAGUUCACUGAAGGUGAAGGCAACAUUUGCUUUCCAUUCAGAGCUAAGCAGGCCAUCUUCGAGAGCAAACGCUCUCAAAAGGAAGAAUAGCAAAAAUCAGCAGAAAAAUUCUCAGAAUAAUUUGGACUAGGAAAGGAAAAAGCAAUUUGCUCCCAGUUAUUCCACAGACAAAAGUAUGAAUAAAAAAAUCAUGAGCUAUUUACCCUGCCUGGACUGUUUGCAUGAGUUUUGUGCUAUUCCAGUUUUGCUUCACCAGCCCCCAAAGACCUUAUCACUGGAUCCUCAAGGCACUUAAAGAAAGCAUGAGGUUUUAUUUUAUUUUUUUUUUUGCAUGCUGGAUCAGCAGGGACCAAAAGCAGAGAAAACAAAAGGGGUCCUAAAUCUGAACCACGCUGAUGCUUGCGUGUGCAUUGACCUGGAUCAGAGACCGAACUCUGGAUGGCUAACUCUAGCAGUACAGAAAUUUUGUCCAAAAUAGUAUUACAAACUCAGGUGCUUUGCAUUCAGAUAGCAAGGCUGUAGCAAAGGCACGGUGGGUAUUUACAAUCUGUUAUAGAAAAACCUGAUACAUGUCAUUAGCUAUUCUGUUGUAAAAGCAGUUUAUGUUACCCACAUCUGCUGUUUAGGUGGCCCAGCCAGACAGAUGCACUGCUCAAAAUGCCAAAGACUGUGCUGCUGCAAUGAGGAGAGGAAAAAGAAAGGAAAAUGAAGACCUCGUAAGCUUUAUCAAAAACCACCAAAAAGUGAGGAGAUUUGGGGAUUACACUGUAAUUACAUUACCUUAAGAAAAAAGUUUACUGAAAAUUUCCUGUUUUGUGUUGCCAGUGCUUUUCAGCCAUUAGUAACACAUAACUUCUCAUUGUCUUUUCCUGAGGCACAGAUGGGCUAAUCUUCAGCUACCUGAUAAUUACACAUUGUUUGAAACUGUAUCAAAAGCUUCUGUUCCUGCAUUCCUUCAGCGGCCAUUACAGCUCACAAAAUCCCUUGAUUGGGGCUUGCAAGGGUCUCCGUCCAUCAGUCCGUCCGUCCAUCCAUUCAUCCAUCCAUCCAAAGGGCUGGGAGUGGAGUGCCAGAGCAUCCAUGCUCACAUAUAGGCUUCAUAGGCUGCUUGUACAGAUUUGCACCAUUUCCAAACUCGGUGGAGCGACUGAAGCUCCACCAGAAGCAUCUUCUUGGCUUGAUGCCAGUAUCCAAGGUUAAUAUGGGAUAAUGUUGCAUCAAAAUGUUUCUACUUAAAUAUGCAUGGCGAUGCUGAUGUCGUGGGGGAAUUAAGGAUAAACCAAUAUGAAAUGUUAGAAAUCAGCAUAACGAAGGUUUAGUCUCAGUUCUUGGGCAAAGCUAUGGACUGCCAAAUUGGAGAAAGGCAGCCCAUCAUCAGCUCUGUGGAGAGGAAGGUUGACAGUGCCCCCUUCUCUAGAGCCACAGUGGAGGCUGGAGAAACCUCCUUCUCCCUUGAUCCCUCCUCUUCAGGAGUGGUUACUCUGCCAGUUGAGCUCUGAUUGUUUUCAGAGGGUGUUUUCUCAGCUGGUUUGAGGGUGUCCAGUGGGAAAACACAAAAGGCCUCACUCAUGUUUUCUGCUUCCCCAUCAUCAGGUAUGCCUGUUGCCUUAUCAAAGAAGGAAACUAAAUUGGGUUGACAUGACUGGUUCUUGACAAACCCACGUUCUUUGAUUUUAUUCUUCAUUUUACAUCUUACAAAUGGCUUAUUUAAGACUUUCUUCCAGCCUCUUUCAGGGAAUUGAGAUUAAGAUGAUGAUUUAAUUUUUAAUUUUUUUUUUUUAAAGUAUCCUCUUUAAAUAGAGGUGCUUCUCUCAUCUCCAGGGACCUCUACAACUUCAUGAAUUUUGAAGAUAACCACCAAGGGUUUAUUGUUGUUGUUGGGUGCAUUUCAUCAGAUGCUCUCAUUUUGUAUAUAUUUGACAUAUCCAAAUGGCUUUAAACUUCUUUCCUUAUGCUGGCCUUCUCCACAGUUCCCAUCAAAGCCUAUUUCAUUAAGUUCCAUUCACAAUUAACCUUUUUAUAAAGACUGAAACAAGAUGGGGCAAAUUCCUGCUUGGAACGUUCAGUCUGUUCUCCUUCCCCAGACACGUACGCCCCUACACAUCUUGCUGUUCUUAUUUUACAUCUAAUUUAUUUGCAGACCCUUGCUGGUUGCCUUCGAAACCUUGUGCGCACAGACUUAGUCGCUCUCAUGCUGUGAACCUGUAUUAUUCCUCUAUUCUCCCCCAGACACGUGCCCAUUUUGACUUUCCAUACGACUUCUUUCCAGCUUCCAGACCCUGCUGCUGCCAUAAUGGCAUCUAAUUAUACUUCUUAUCUGCUUUCACAGGGGAGCAGUCUGCUGUUGUGCACCAUCUUUGGUCUCUUCUGGGAACUGCCAGUUCUCAUACGUUUCCUCACCACGUAUUUCCAUCCAAGAGAGCUUCUCUACUUCUUCCUUGAUCUCUGUCAGAUGCUCAUUAUUUUGUUAUUUCUAUUCUUCUGACUUACUGUGCUGAUGGGAAAUGACGCUCAGGUUAUACAUAACUUCUCCUAUUCCCAAAUCUCUUGGGUUGUAAGUUAAGGACUAGCCUGAUAAGGCUGCAAAAUUGAAGGGGGGGAUCACUAAAAGCUCCUAAAAUCCUUCUGGCAGUGUUUCCAAGUGGGUCUGACUGGGCAUCACUGCAGAGAGGGUGUUGCUUGGAGAAAAAGAUACAGAAUUGGCCGGUUGGUCCCAGAACUGGCCAUUCGGUCCAUUUUGGAUGGUAUGUGGGAAGCAGGGCUCUGCGGCAGGAUCCCCCCAGACCCUGGCAUCUCAUGGAGUAAUUUCUGAUGUUCUCCAUGCAUAUGGGGAUUGGAUGAUAAACAAGCUCUGCUCGUGCCUCGACUCUUCAGAUGACGUCUGUAUUCUCAGCUCAAAAGGACCAAAGUGUUGCUCACCUCCGUAGCCCUGUUUCUGGGUGCAUUUGGCUGGAGCCUCUGUGCAGCCACACCACUUGCAUGCCCGACAUUUACCGCACUGGCCUGAAAGUCUUCUCGUUUCUCCCAUGGCCACUUGGAGUCAAGUGCCACUGGAAAUGUGGCUCCUGCAGGGAGGAAUUUCAGACGCCCUCAGUUCAGAUCCUAGACAUUUGUGAGUGCAAUUUUGUUUCGGGUUUUACAAAUGCUAUUCUGCUCACUUGCUUGCCUCGAGUAAUGAAGCAGCGAGAUAAAAGACAGGACCACAGAAGGUUGUUAAAAAAUUACUUGCAAAUUAAUGUGAGGACAAGGUGUAUGAGUUAAUAUCGUAUAAAGACCCUUGAAAUCGGCAUACAUGUGUGCACCCUCCGAGCACUGACAUUCGCAGGCAGAACUACACUGGUAACCAAGCCCAAGGGGCUUGAUUAACAGGAAAUUUUCAGAAUGCCAAUUAGAGCAAAGUUUACCGAACAAAUUGUUUGCACUUGUACCCUAGAACCAUCAUGAAUUUUAAUUCAGCAUGGAUUUAUGUGGCUGAAACAAUAAUUAAAGAUACAUGAAUGCCUUGUGUUCAGGAUACUCCCCCACAGCUACACUGUAGUCUUGGGUGGGGAAUGGGGUGAGGAGCUCGUUUGGGCAGGGUCUGCUCUCACUUGGGAGGACAUGGGGUGCAGGAGGGUUUUCCCCAUGGAGAUAUAAGCAGUUUCCUGAGUACUGAGCUCACUGAUUUGUGCAGCUGAUUUGUCUUUGGUUUCUUUUUUUCUCUUUUAUUUUUUUCUUCUUCAUUUUUGUAACCUGACAAAGAAUGAUCUGUGGGGCAUUUUAUCAAUUAAUGUUGGCUUGUCUUUUCCUGCCUUCCA